This 450-nucleotide ribosomal RNA is filed under the name uncultured bacterium. RNAcentral describes it as "partial 16S ribosomal RNA". It matches the Rfam family "Bacterial small subunit ribosomal RNA", at positions 354 to 796 of the family's 1533-position model. The record is from RNAcentral.
GUGGGGAAUUUUGGACAAUGGGCGAAAGCCUGAUCCAGCCAUGCCGCGUGCAGGAUGAAGGCCUUCGGGUUGUAAACUGCUUUUGUACGGAACGAAAAGACUCUGGUUAAUACCUGGGGUCCAUGACGGUACCGUAAGAAUAAGCACCGGCUAACUACGUGCCAGCAGCCGCGGUAAUACGUAGGGUGCAAGCGUUAAUCGGAAUUACUGGGCGUAAAGCGUGCGCAGGCGGUUAUAUAAGACAGAUGUGAAAUCCCCGGGCUCAACCUGGGAACUGCAUUUGUGACUGUAUAGCUAGAGUACGGCAGAGGGGGAUGGAAUUCCGCGUGUAGCAGUGAAAUGCGUAGAUAUGCGGAGGAACACCGAUGGCGAAGGCAAUCCCCUGGGCCUGUACUGACGCUCAUACACGAAAGCGUGGGGAGCAAACAGGAUUAGAAACCCGUGUAGUCC